RNAcentral lists this ribosomal RNA (556 nucleotides) under Shewanella sp. DBrez 4.3. RNAcentral's name for it is "bacterial SSU rRNA". It matches the Rfam family "Bacterial small subunit ribosomal RNA", at positions 336 to 884 of the family's 1533-position model. Lineage: Bacteria; Pseudomonadati; Pseudomonadota; Gammaproteobacteria; Alteromonadales; Shewanellaceae. The record is from RNAcentral.
CUCCUACGGGAGGCAGCAGUGGGGAAUAUUGCACAAUGGGGGAAACCCUGAUGCAGCCAUGCCGCGUGUGUGAAGAAGGCCUUCGGGUUGUAAAGCACUUUCAGUGAGGAGGAAAGGUUGGUAGUUAAUACCUGCUAGCUGUGACGUUACUCGCAGAAGAAGCACCGGCUAACUCCGUGCCAGCAGCCGCGGUAAUACGGAGGGUGCGAGCGUUAAUCGGAAUUACUGGGCGUAAAGCGUGCGCAGGCGGUUUGUUAAGUGAGAUGUGAAAGCCCUGGGCUCAACCUAGGAAUAGCAUUUAGAACUGUCCAACUAGAGUCUUGUAGAGGGGGGUAGAAUUCCAGGUGUAGCGGUGAAAUGCGUAGAGAUCUGGAGGAAUACCGGUGGCGAAGGCGGCCCCCUGGACAAAGACUGACGCUCAGGCACGAAAGCGUGGGGAGCAAACAGGAUUAGAUACCCUGGUAGUCCACGCCGUAAACGAUGUCUACUCGGAGUUUGGUGUCUUGAACAGUGGGCUCUCAAGCUAACGCAUUAAGUAGACCGCCUGGGGAGUACG